This 406-nucleotide ribosomal RNA is filed under the name uncultured bacterium. RNAcentral's name for it is "partial 16S ribosomal RNA". It matches the Rfam family "Bacterial small subunit ribosomal RNA", at positions 30 to 526 of the family's 1533-position model. The record is from RNAcentral.
AUUGAACGCUGGCGGCAUGCCUAACACAUGCAAGUCGAACGAGUGGCCGACGGGUGAGUAAUGUCUGUGACCCUGCCCCAUGUAUGGGGAUAACUCUUGAAAACGGGACCUAUUCCCGCAUUCCAUCGGCUGUGCCCCGAUGGGAUUGGCGAGGAGGUGGGGUAACGGCUCACCUAGGCGACGAUCCGUCGCGGGUCUGAGAGGAUGACCAGCCACACUGGAACUGAGACGCGGACCAGAGGCCUGCGGGAGGGAGCAGUGUCGAAUAUUGCACAAUGGGCGCAAGCCUUAUGCAGCCAUGGCGAGUGUAUGAAGAAGGCCUUCGGGUUGUAAAGUACUUCCAGCGAGUAGGCGUUACUCGCAGAAGAAGCAUCGGCUAACUCCGUGCCAGCAGCCGCGGUAAUUC